AGAGAGAGAGAGAGAGAGAGAGAGAGAGAGAGAGUGAUUCCAGCCCUAGAAAAUGGAAAGCCUUAAACUGCAGGGUGCGAAAAUGGCGGGAAGGAAUUAGGGUUAGGGUUUUAAUGGCCAUGGCGAAUGUCUCGCGGACCCUAACGGCUAAAUUUAUCUUCCUCUGCGUCAGUGUUAGCACCGAGCCAGACAGCUUCUCUCUCUAUUGCGUAGAUUGCUUAAGUUUUCUUGGAAAUACUAAGUGAGUAUGGAUAUUAUGGACAUGGGAAAGUUGGAGGAAAUGGACUCUGGAUUUAUCCAAGCAUCCGAAGGGUUUUUGCCAUUGAUUAGUAGCUUCAAGGAGAAUGACUGUUUCCAAGACGAUUCAGCUUCUUAUGAAAGAUUCCUCGCUCCAUAUGAUACAGAUUCAUUCUUUGACGACCUUGCAAAUAGAUUAAUUAUCUCAAGAAUGGUUAAUGACUCUGUGGUAAAAGGAAUAGUAAAUGCAGUGAAAGAAGAGGCUGAUGAGCGAAUAUCAGAAAAGGAAGCCGAGAUUGAAAGCUUGAGAGAAAAUUUAAGUUUAUCCAAGUCAGAGGUAGCCAAGUUAGAAAGGUUUUUGGAGCAUAAGGAUAAAGAAAUGGCUUCUUUGAAUGCUUCACUCAAUCAUUCAAACAGUAAAACAUCUCAGAUAGAGGAAGUUCAAGCAGUCUUUACUUCAAGGCAUCAUGAGCAUUUCAAUGAAGAGCCAAAAUCAAGUUUUAAGAUGGCAAUUGAAGAUCAUCUGAGGAGAAUGAAGCAAGAAAUUGAGGAUGGGAGGGUGCUUGCAGUUAAUGGCUUGAUGGGUAUUUCUGAAUUUUCUUCAUUAAAUGGCCAUAUGGAUAACAUGACUAAAAUGUUUUCGAAAUCUCAUGUUGAGAAAGGAAUAGCUAGAUCCUCAGUUAAGGAUAUGGGACUGAAUCCAUGUGAGAUUUACCAUAAAUUCCAACAUAUGAUUAAAGUUUAUGACUCCUUAAAAAAUGGGUUGGACAUGGUUUGGGAACAGGUCAGUGAUUCUGACUUAAUUGAAUGGAAGUGGAAAUUUGAUGCACACGAAGAAGUCAAUGCUCCAGUUUUGAAGGGGGAGCUCCAAGGGAAAUCAGUUAUAGGUUCAUGGGAACAGAAUGGUCAAGUGGCUGAUAGCCAUAGAAAGCAGCUUUCAAUGCAGAUUGAUGUGAUUUCAAGCUUGAGACAAGAGUUAGAUGCAACAUUGAGGAGUUUAACUGCUCCCGAACCAGGCCAACAACUCUCGCAUGGAUCGCAAGAAGUCACUGAGGAGCAAAUUAGUAAUGCUGAAAAGAAAAACCAGGUCCACCAUAAUGUCAUGGGGAAUCGCCUUUCCCCUGGUAUUGUCCUUCGUGAGGAAAAUGAUGUGGCCAUUGCUUUAGAGAAAUUCAAAGAGCCCAAAAAUAACCCUGAUCGAAUACCUGAGUCUGGGGAAUUGAGGCACAUGUCAAAGGAAGAGCUAAUGACCUAUUUUACAAGUGAAAUGACCAAGAUGAAGAGGAACUAUGAGUCUACUGUGCAUGAGCUAACAGAAGCUUUCUUUAGUCUCAAGAGGAAACACCUUAAAGAAAAAGGGUCUUCACCAUUGAGGAGAGAUAAGGAAUCUGAUGGUAUCCGGAAAAGGAUCACAGAGGCCGUUAUAAAGUUGGAUGACAUGAUCAAGGAGACUGCCAAGCUAGCUUUAAUUGAAGAAGAUUACCAAAAGUUGUGCUCCUUGAAGGAUAAACUUCUUUCUGAAAACCAGCACUUACGAGAGAUGCUUGCCGAUAAAAAUAAGGAAGUCAAGUACCUCUCAUCCCAGGUUUCAGAUGCUGCCAAUAAAAUGUCCCUUCAUUCAUUGACAGAAACAAACUUCCUCAAGCUGAUAAAGAAGCUUAGAUGUGAUAUAGAAGAUCUAAAUGUAGAAAUUUUCAUUAGAGAGGAGGUAUACAAGGAUGUUGUUCGUGAGUUGGGUAUUGAAUUCAGAGGUGUUACGAACGAUUUUCUGAUCGAGGCUUCAGUCAUAGAAGAGAUAUAUGCCAUCAUAUAUGAAGGAGCAAUCAGGGAUAUAGAGGCUUAUGUAAAUUCUACAUUGUUGAAGUAUGGUGAAGAAAUGGACAGGCUGAACCACCUUGAGACAAAACUCUUAGAGAAGGAGGAGGCAAUAUGCUCAGACAUUAAAGAAAAGGAGGUGUUCAAGCAAGAAAUUUCUUCAUUGUUGAGUUUGAUGGGAGAGAAAGAGAAUGUGGCAGUGGAAGCUAGUGCAGCAUUGAAGGAACAGAAGGAGCGUCUUGAUCUAGUGACUCAAGAGCUUAACAUGUUCAAGGAACAAUCAGAUCAGCAAGAGAAAGUAAUUGAUGAGAAGAAUAGAGAGUUGAAUUCUGUGAGUGGGAGAUUGAAGGAAGCUUUGAAGCAAGUAGGCUUUUAUAAAUUAGAAAUGAAAGAGUUAGAUCAGGAACUUACGGAAUCGUUGAAUGACUUAGGGAAAGCAAGGGAACAAAUAUCCUUUCUUGAAGGUGUAGUUCAAAACAAUCAGCAAACAGUAUGUUCACUUGUGAUGGCUGAGGAAGAGCAAAGGAAACGGUUGGAAGCUACUGUAAAAUCUGCUGAGGACUUGUUCAGAGCACUAAUUGUACUACAAAACAGAAUAUAUGAAGGAAUUGGGAAGAAUAGUCUAAGGUUAGAAAACCUAAACAAACAAUUUUAUCCACUUGUUCGGCAUGCUAAUUCACUUAGGAAGAAGAAUUUGUUGUACAAACAAGGUUUGGAAAGAAGAUAUUCUGACCUUCAAAAGGCAGAAGUAGAGGUUGAUUUGCUAGGUGAUGAAGUUGAUACACUUCUCAGUCUCCUUGAGAAGAUAUACAUCGCACUUGAUCAUUAUUCACCUAUUUUGCAACAUUAUCCGGGGAUUAUGGAAAUUCUGAAAUUGAUUCAGAGGGAACUGAAAGGAGAAGUUGCCCAACCAAUCUGAUCAUGGCGUUGCUUUAAGAUAUUCAUCAGCUUUCAUCUGGGAUGGCUCUGAUUCUUCAGUUAAUUUGGUCCCUUUAUCAAGCAAUCCUCAGAAAUCAGCCUGUACUUGGAACUCACUUGGGCUGAUUGUCCCCAGCAGAGACUAAAUGCUCUAACUGCGCAUUCGCAAGUGGCUUUUCAUCAGCCAACAGAUGCUCAUCAAUGACAUUCUCGGGUGGUUGAAGUGGUCGCAAUCAACACUGUCACUCACAUCAUUCAGAUGGUUGUGAUGUCAUUGCUUGCCACAGGAAGCAAUGUACACCAUUUCAUGUAAUAUACUUCCUCGAUUUAGUUUGGCUCAGCUCAGCUUGCUUGGUUCAACUCUUUAACACCUUUUCAGCUCAGGCAAAGGCGAAUGUAUUCCUUUCUUCCUCAAGGAGAUUAGUGGGGAGAAUCUGAAGGCCAUAAACACGUAGCUUUCGCACUGCCAUUUGGGUGCCACAAGAGCUGCCUUGCUGUUAACUUUGGUUCAAAUUUUUGUAGCUUUUUUAUUUAUGUUUUUUACCCUUUUUGGGCCAAGGGAAAUGUAUGUUCAUUGUAAUAAUAUUAUGGCGAUCAUUUGUGAAUAAUCAGUGGCUUUAAAGAAUAAAUUAUUAAAUGCUUUUGUCAGCAGAGACU
This is an RNA transcript of Amborella trichopoda, 3627 nucleotides long. It is a transcript of the gene named myosin heavy chain-like protein, with no coding region annotated. Lineage: Eukaryota; Viridiplantae; Streptophyta; Magnoliopsida; Amborellales; Amborellaceae. The record is from RefSeq and is a predicted model, not a curated record.